AGGCAGUGCCGGCGCUAUUUAUUUUUCUCUCGUAGCAGAAAAGGGCUCCGAGAGCCCCAUUGCGCUCCCUCAUCGCUGCAGCGCGGUGACGAAGGCUGUCUCGUUGUUCUCCCACUGACCGAUGGUUUUGAUCCUUCACCAAAAGGGUCUGCUACUCAGCAGGGUAAAAACGCUCCGGAGCACCUCGCUACGGGCGCAUCGCCUGCACCUUAAGGCGUUCCCAGCCUCUGCCUUGUAGUGGCUCACCAGAAAAGAAAUAUAUAUAUAUACACGCAUAUUUAUUUUUCACAAGGAGCAAGCAGUGGCAUUGCUUCCUAGGUAGGAACCAGCUCCUUCCAUCUUGGGAGCUCAAGGCCAGACCCAGCUGGGGUGUGCGCACAUGGUUUUAGGAGGACGAGUUUCCGCGGCUGGGAAAGGAGAGACAAAGGGAGCGGAGUGCGAGGGGUGGGUGUGCCCGGGAGAAAAAGACAGGCUCUGUGUGCAGGAAGCGUGGCCGUGGGCACGGCUGCGGCUGUGAAUGGGAGCGGAGCUGCCGGGAGAGGGGAGAGGCAGAGCAGAGGGUGGGUGUGCCGCGUGUGCCACGGGAGCAGGGAUGCUCGGCGGCUGGUGUGAGCGCUUUUGUGUGCGACAGAGAGCACGGGCACGGGGAGAGCAGGUUCACGUCAUGCGGAUAUGCUCGCACACUCAUUCAGUCCGCUCCUCUGUCAUCUUUGGGUAGUACAAAAAGAGCCACCGGUACACAUAAUGCCUGAAAGGCACUCGAGUCCCUACAGGGCUGAUAAGCUCGGGCGCGGGGGAUGUAUGCUAAGUCUGCUGUUACAAAUCUUGCUGUUGCAGACUUCAGCAGCGCUGAAUAAGCCAGCCAAAACCGUUUCACAAUAUCCUCCUUGGGCAGAGGCAGGUGAGAAUGAGGAGGCAUGUGAAUUCUCCACGUGGGCUCCUUUGGACGUACACCUCAGCCAAAGCCCCAGCCCUGAGAGCCCUGGGCAUCACUCCCAGGGGAUGUGGUCACUGUUUUUCCUGAGUCAAACACCUGACGGCUCAGUCAGGCUGGAGGAGUCACCAGAGAGAUGGAUAAAGUUGCCCUGAUGUCCCAGGAGGUUCAUAAACUUUCUCUAUGGUUUUUCAAGCUUGGCAAAGAAUCACACCAGCCUCUCUAGUGCCUGACAUCCUGGCUCUUUCAGCCACCAUCUUGCACUGGUAGGGCAUGGCAGGAUGCCCCAGAACACACCUUCAGACAAACUGGAGUGACUGGAAGGAUGAAAAACAUGAGGAAAUCACCAUCAAGGUGGGAGAUAAUUUUUACUGCUGGUAAGGUGUUGGCGUGACUGCUGGGAGGGAUGUGAAAGCAGUAAAUGCAAAAGAAAGAAGGAUGGUGCUGAAGAAAUCAGCCACUUUCUGCAAUGGGGAAGGGUUGAGGGCGGCUGCCAAGUGUCAGGUUCAGACGACGUGAGCACAGAAGCCUUUUUAGCAAAAGUAAGUAACACAAAUAGUGGAGAGUAUAGCCCCAAGAUUUUGGGGGUGGAGCCUGAUGAAUGUGAGACAACCUUAAAGAGGUGCUGGGGAACAAACACGUGAGAAUGAAGAUCAUGGGAAGGUCCAGGAUAGAGAAAGAUAUUUCAGAGUCCCUGGAAUGGGGUCAUGUGCAUGCAUGAAGGUCUUAUGCAGACUACGUUAAAAGGGGGAAAAAAAGCAGAAUGAAGGUCUGAGCUGUGAGGGUUCCAGCAGAGAGAAGCUAUCAGGAAGGGAAUGAACAGCAGCACCUGGGGUAGCAGCAAGGUUUCAGGGAGAAACUAGGUGUGAGUCAGGAAAUAACCAGUGUAAGAUUUCUGGAUGAGGAUGGAAAGGGAGGAAAGCCAGAUGGAGGGGCUCUAGGAGCGAGUCUGAGGCGUUCAGGAGCUUAAUAGCUGCUUGUUCAAAGAGUUUAGGGAGGUGCGGAGAUGGGAAGGUAAUUGAAGAGACAUGGUCAAAGGAAAGUUUUAAACAUGUGCAAUGACAUGCUUGGUAUGCAGGGAGAAAUUCAUCCCUAGUGUACGCCUAAUGAAAUCAGUAGCUUUGGCUUUAGCUCUAUCUGUUAAUUCCACAUGACAGAGGAAGAAGGAAGGGAAUUGUUUGUUCUUCACAAAGCGAUGAUAUCAAACAGUUUUGAGUGCUCUUUUUUUACCCAUCAAAAAAUAUAACCCAAAAUAUUACAAUGAUAUGUUUUUUUCUCUUCCUUCACUCUGCACUCUGCCUGCUUCCUUAAAGAAAACCUCUCCCUGCUCAUCAUCAGGUGUGCUUGUGAUGGGAUACAGCAACACCUGCACUGGACCUGUGCUGUCACACGUGGACCUUUGUCACAUACGGCGGGCACAGUAGUACCUCUGCCCUGUCACUGCACACAUACUGGCCACAGAGCUGGGGCCCUGUGUGGUGAGGUUCAGCUUGACCUGAGCUGCAGACCUUCUAGCAGUGUUUGAAUUCAUCAGAGAGGAAAAAUGGGCAACAUUGCUGAGAUUCGGGGAGCAUGGAUUAACUAUACUGUCUGGAGUCAGCCUUGAUUACAAAUCCAGGCAUAAUGAAGGAUGUGGCUUCACUCACCCCAUUGUUCUGCAACGUUUCGAGUGUCUCCUUCGUGCAGCGGGGCUUUGAGGCUCAUAUCUCCUGCCGUCCUACAGUGUGUGGUAGAACAACCUGGCCGCUCAUUCACAAAGAGGACAAAAGACACAAGGGGAAAGGACUUUCUGUUCCAGUGCUGAAACACAAGGCAAGGCGGUCUGAAUCCACGGAGACCCUCUGAUUGAUGUGACAGGGAGGGCAUGACAAGCCUGCUGAUGUGCGAACAGCAUUUUACUCCAGCUGAUCUUGCCAAAAAAAAUAAAACACCCAUGACAAAAACUAAACUAGCUGGCUUACUUAGAGCAUAAAUGUCCAGGAAUGGAGAACUGCCACCUGGUGUGAGUUAUGAAGCCCUGCCUUCCUCUGUGAAGAUGACCAUGACAAAUAGUGGCAGGUCAGGCCCAGGGCACCCUGUGCUCUGGUCUAGGCAGAGUUGGCUUUGCCCGUCUCUGAAGGGCUGCCACCCCGCGAUCUGCAGUUCAGCCCUAACUGCAGGCCAUGAGA
Cygnus olor (mute swan) is the source of this 3102-nucleotide long non-coding RNA. RefSeq lists it as uncharacterized. The record is from RefSeq and is a predicted model, not a curated record. NCBI's taxonomy places the organism in Eukaryota, Metazoa, Chordata, Aves, Anseriformes, Anatidae. The transcript has 3 exons.